RNAcentral lists this ribosomal RNA (253 nucleotides) under uncultured bacterium. RNAcentral describes it as "partial 16S ribosomal RNA". It matches the Rfam family "Bacterial small subunit ribosomal RNA", at positions 524 to 776 of the family's 1533-position model. The record is from RNAcentral.
UACGUAGGGGGCAAGCGUUGUCCGGAAUCAUUGGGCGUAAAGAGCGUGUAGGCGGCCCGAUAAGUCCGCUGUGAAAGUCCAGGGCUCAACCCUGGGAUGCCGGUGGAUACUGUCGGGCUCGAGUCCGGAAGAGGAGUGUGGAAUUCCCGGUGUAGCGGUGAAAUGCGCAGAUAUCGGGAGGAACACCAGUAGCGAAGGCGGCACUCUGGGCCGGUACUGACGCUGAGGAGCGAAAGCGUGGGGAGCGAACAGG